CGGGACAGUGCUGUGCCGGACAGCCUCGGCCAGGUCCAUCUUGCUGGAGCCCAUCUACUGGGAUUCCUCCAAUGCCAAGAUUUUUUUAUGUGGGGAGAAGUGCCUGGAUCAACCAAUUCAGAAGCUGCUCCAAUCAGCAGAUGAAGAAGCCAUUACUGCAUUUUUGGAAGAAAACUUUAAAUCUCCCAAAUGAAUGAUGACUCAUUAUUGACAUUAUGCCACCAGGUUCCAGAUGCCAGCAGGAUGCCUACCAGACUUCCCUGGACAGACGAGCCCACUAGUGUGUCCUGGAUCUCUGCUUCCCCAGAGACCCACCCCACUAGGGAAAGAGAGAGGCAGGCUGGGAGUAUGGAUCGACCAGUCAAUGCCCAUGUUCUGCAGGGAGCAAAUACAGAAGCCAGAUCUUCCACCCUCUACAACCCACUAUGACCUUGGGUCCAUACUCCCAGAGGAAAAAAGAAUAGAAAGGGUAUCAGGGGAGGGGAUGAGAUAUAGAGAUCUGGUGGUGGGAGUUGUGUGGAGUUGUACCCCUUCUAUCCUACAGUUUUGUUAAUGUCUCCUUUUUAAGAUAAAUAAAUCUGGAAGAAGGGCAGAGGGUAGAUAGCAUAAU
Molecule: long non-coding RNA, 610 nt
Organism: Erinaceus europaeus (western European hedgehog)
Lineage: Eukaryota; Metazoa; Chordata; Mammalia; Eulipotyphla; Erinaceidae
Exons: 3
Source: RefSeq, a predicted model, not a curated record